CCAAGCAUCCAUUUAUCUUCUUUUCAGUUCUUUCUUAACCUGCCCCAAGGGAACUUGGAGCCACACGCCGCCUUGCAGUGCCAGAUUUUUUUCUGGACAUGAAAUACAGCGGCAACAGCUGGUAAGCCAAUCUCCAUUUGGCUGAACGUUUGAAGCCGCAGUGGAAGUGCAGCAGCAAGGGGGCUACGGUGC
Molecule: non-coding RNA, 192 nt
Filed under: unclassified sequences
Description: RT-16 RNA
Rfam family: RT-16 RNA (bases 21-192)
About the family: candidate division DUSEL4 (Archaea). Nearby to self-splicing intron genes
Source: Rfam by way of RNAcentral